AGUGAACGCUGGCGGUAGGCCUAACACAUGCAAGUCGAACAGCAGCACAGUAAGAGCUUGCUCUUACGGGUGGCGAGUGGCGGACGGGCGAGGAAUACAUCGGAAUCUACUUUUUCGUGGGGGAUAACGUAGGGAAACUUACGCUAAUACCGCAUACGACCUACGGGUGAAAGCAGGGGAUCUUUGGACCUUGCGCGAUUGAAUGCGCCGAUGUCGGAUUAGCUAGUUGGCGGGGUAAAGGCCCACCAAGGCGACGAUCCGUAGCUGGUCUGAGAGGAUGAUCAGCCACACUGGAACUGAGACACGGUCCAGACUCCUACGGGAGGAAGCAGUGGGGAAUAUUGGACAAUGGGCGCAAGCCUGAUCCAGCCAUACCGCGUGGGUGAAGAAGGCCUUCGGGUUGUAAAGCCCUUUUGUUGGGAAAGAAAAGCAGCAGGUUAAUACCCCGCUGUUCUGACGGUACCCAAAGAAUAAGCACCGGCUAACUUCGUG
RNAcentral lists this ribosomal RNA (492 nucleotides) under uncultured bacterium. RNAcentral describes it as "partial 16S ribosomal RNA". It matches the Rfam family "Bacterial small subunit ribosomal RNA", at positions 29 to 507 of the family's 1533-position model. The record is from RNAcentral.